CUUGUGUUCUGUGGGUAAUUUUGAUGUAUAGCUUCCGUUCUUAGCGUAUUUGAAUGUGUAGUCGAGUUGAGCGUGUGACUUUGAUAUGAAGGAACAUUGCGCGUAGGGAUGUCAAACAAUUUGUCGCGUUUGGUCACACUGGUGACUGAAGUCUUAGCUCUCUUUUCACGGCGACCGUUUGAGUGCUUUAUUAUCCCUUUAAAUUUUGUCUUGUUGACCGUGUUUUCACCUUGGCUAAAUAAGCGUUUUUGAUUCAAUUUCAACAGAAACAUAUCCACGGGGUUUGAAAAUUCAUUUAACACUGGUUUAUCAUUGGAAAAAUGUAAAUUUGGAUGAAAAUUCUUAGCAUUGUUUGGAAACGUUGUGUGUGUUUUUUCUGUAAAAUAAUUUGCGAUGUCUGUGGUGUUUUUCUGUAAAUCUUUAUUUUCUUUAGCUUUUAAAUAUAAAGGUUUCGUAAUAUGUGACGUAUCGUUAUUAACCACUUCAUAUAACUUCUUAUGAUAAGGAAGAGAAAUCUGAACGUUAUUAUAAAUAUGGUCAGCAGGGACAUGCGGAAAAAAUUUUGGUAAAAAUGAAGCAUCUUGAUGGAAAGGUGUACCAUAUCGAUGUGUGAAAGCUUGGACUCUAGUGACAUUUGUUUUAAAACUAACAAGAAAAAAUGAGAUAGCAUAAAAUAAAUGUAUCAUAAUACCAAAUUUUCAUGAUAUAUGUUUGUUAAACUACCUUUGUUAAUAAUUAUUCUAUCUCAUUUUUGAACUCCCGUCCAAAAUAAAAGCAUAAAUGAUUUUUCAAUUUAGCGUAAUUUUUACAAUGAUUUUUCUUGUUGAAGUUUUACUAUGUUUAUUUAAUUUUAUGUAAAUAAACUUGAAGAAGGCGUUAUUUCAAUGCAAAUAAAGUUAACCUGUGAUUAAAAAUUUAAUCUGAACAGCAAGAUGAAGCUGCUGGUGUAACUUAGUCUAUGUUACAAGACGAACAGUGAAUAGAGACAAAAGCUUUUGUUGUUGAUGAAGUGAUUUAUCAAUAGGAUUCAAUCUCAGUACAUUGCUAUACUUAUUCCAGGUAAUGAUUAGACUCCAUUUGCAAGAGAGGUUUGGU
This is a long non-coding RNA of Hylaeus volcanicus, 1095 nucleotides long. RefSeq lists it as uncharacterized. The transcript has 4 exons. The record is from RefSeq and is a predicted model, not a curated record. Lineage: Eukaryota; Metazoa; Arthropoda; Insecta; Hymenoptera; Colletidae.